Molecule: ribosomal RNA, 301 nt
Filed under: uncultured bacterium
Lineage: Bacteria
Description: partial 16S ribosomal RNA
Rfam family: Bacterial small subunit ribosomal RNA
Source: RNAcentral
CAGUAGCCGCGGUAAUACGUAGGUGGCAAGCGUUGUCCGGAAUUAUUGGGCGUAAAGUGCUCGCAGGCGGUUUCUUAAGUCUGAUGUGAAAGCCCCCGGCUCAACCGGGGAGGGUCAUUGGAAACUGGGAAACUUGAGUGCAGAAGAGGAGAGUGGAAUUCCACGUGUAGCGGUGAAAUGCGUAGAGAUGUGGAGGAACACCAGUGGCGAAGGCGACUCUCUGGUCUGUAACUGACGCUGAGGAGCGAAAGCGUGGGGAGCGAACAGGAUUAGAUACCCCCGUAGUCCCUGUCUCUUAUAC